Molecule: small RNA, 28 nt
Filed under: Bombyx mori (domestic silkworm)
Lineage: Eukaryota; Metazoa; Arthropoda; Insecta; Lepidoptera; Bombycidae
Description: piRNA piR-bmo-1443584
Source: RNAcentral
UAGCAGCGGUGAGCUUGUAGUCCGCGGG